AUGAGUGAUCCAUGUGAAUGCUGCCAGAUCAAGCUUAAGUUUCUAAGGCAGAUCAAUGGCAACUUCAUGCACAGCCUGGUCAUACCAGAGUGGUUUGUGAACCAAUUUGGAGGAAAGAUCUGGAGAACUGUCAAAUUAGAGUCCCCUAAUGGUAACGUCUAUGACGUUGGAGUUACCGAGAAUAUGAACCGAACAAUUUUGAAGUCUGGAUGGGCAUCAUUUGUUGAUGCCAAUAAAAUAGAAGAAAAUUAUUCAUUGAUGUUUCGUUACCUUGAAAACGCCCGCUUCAAGGUUACAAUAUUCGAUUCCAGUGGUAAGCAGAAAGCAUCGUGCUGUGCUAGGAUGGGAACUGCUGGUCCUGAUGUUAGGAACCCAAGCACAUUUGAUGUUGAGAAUUCUAGUAGUUCUUGUGGUGGUACUACUCAGUCUUCACCAAGCGAAAGAUCAGAUUCAGAUGGAAGCCAAAAGGAAAGCUCGUACGGUUAUAAAAAAUCAGCAAAGAAGGCUGCAAUAUCAGAUUCUUCUGAGGAAUUAUCAGCUGAAGACAGUCUAUCUAGAGGCAAUUUGGUGGAUUCAUAUGGUGUACAGGUGCAUUUGAAUGACUAUGUCCUAUCAGGGAAAUGUGAUCUUACAGUAGCACAGGAGGCAAAAAUACAAGCACUUGUAGAGAAAAUUCGAUCUCAAAUCCCGGUGCUUGUUGUACAGAUGAAGAAGACCAGCGCAAACUUUGGUAAUCUGCUGCCUACAAAGAACAAGGAAUGGAAGUGCAGAUUUAAUCCAGGUCGGCGCAACCUUUAUUUGGGCUACUUUGUCCGUGAAAACUGUGUUCAAGAGGGAGAUAUCUGCCUCUUUCAACCAAUAGCAAAGGCUAAGGAAGGAAGAUUUACAGUAAUUGUCCAUCUUCUUCACAAAGAGAGCGUUCAUCAUUCCCCUGGUGGAACAGCAGGGAUGACACACACGGCUACCGACGGAAGAACAGGCGCAAAGACAUCCUUAACAGCCCGUGUUAAGGAGGAACCAACCACUGAUGGCGAAGAUAUGUCAUCAUUGGGACCUAAAGAGGAUGGAGACAAUUCUGAGGGAGCUCCUGAAACCCCCUUCGUACUGCCAGACAGAGCCUCUAUAACGCCAGCACAGGAGCAGAAAGUGUGGGAGAAAGUAGAAGCCAUUGAGUCGACAGUACCAGUUUACGUCGCGAUCCUGAACAAGUGCAAUGUUGCUCGCAAAUCCGGCAUGAUGAUAAACAUGGGAAAGCAGUACGCGUCAAGGUAUCUCGAAAAACAGUACUUUACUGGGCAUCAUGGAAAGAAGAAUGUUAUCAGUCUGGUGCUUCAACGGGAGGGGAAGAGUAGGACGUGGGACACGGAGCUGCGACGCAGGACUGAUCGUAUGAUGAUCUGUAAAGGAUGGGUUGCUUUCGCCCGUGGCAACCACCUGCGGGUGGGUGACCUCUGCCUCCUCAAGCUGAUGGAGAGCGAGGAGCCGCUGAAGAUGAUGUGCCGCAAGGUACAACUGGUGUUGCAUGCCAAUGAUGUGAGGGUGCCCGUGUGCUACGAGACAACCGCCAACCAUUGCUUGCUGGAACUGCUAGGACGACGUGGUCUACUGCGGGAUCCACCACAGGCUGCUGCAAGGGGACUGUGGGGCUACUGCAAACAGUUGGGGUUUGUUACAAGCAGUGUGGUGCUAGCAAUGUUGGAAGGCCACACACCAUUGCUGGCGAUGCAACGAGGUUGCUGUGAGCAGCACGGUCAACGAUGUUUAGAGGUUGUGAUGUCCCACACGGCUGCUUCAACGGGGGUUGGUGGCAAUGCUACCACAGUUGACGCAACUACUAUGAGUAGCUUUGUUGGCGAUGUUGAGAAGGCUGGUGUGGCUACUCCGACACAAAAACAUGUUGCUAUGAGUGGCAUUGUUGCGUCGGUGAGUAGGGGAUCCAGGGCCUACAUAGGAACCAGAUAA
RNAcentral lists this ribosomal RNA (1962 nucleotides) under Triticum aestivum (bread wheat). RNAcentral's name for it is "partial small subunit ribosomal RNA". Lineage: Eukaryota; Viridiplantae; Streptophyta; Magnoliopsida; Poales; Poaceae. The record is from RNAcentral.